This 253-nucleotide ribosomal RNA is filed under the name uncultured bacterium. Its description in RNAcentral is "partial 16S ribosomal RNA". It matches the Rfam family "Bacterial small subunit ribosomal RNA", at positions 524 to 776 of the family's 1533-position model. The record is from RNAcentral.
UACGAAGGGGCUAGCGUUGUUCGGAAUCACUGGGCGUAAAGCGCACGUAGGCGGAUCUUUAAGUCAGAGGUGAAAUCCCAAGGCUCAACCUUGGAACUGCCUUUGAUACUGGGGAUCUUGAGUCCGGGAGAGGUGAGUGGAACUGCGAGUGUAGAGGUGAAAUUCGUAGAUAUUCGCAAGAACACCAGUGGCGAAGGCGGCUCACUGGCCCGGUACUGACGCUGAGGUGCGAAAGCGGUGGGGAGCAAACAGG